This 253-nucleotide ribosomal RNA is filed under the name uncultured bacterium. RNAcentral describes it as "partial 16S ribosomal RNA". It matches the Rfam family "Bacterial small subunit ribosomal RNA", at positions 524 to 776 of the family's 1533-position model. The record is from RNAcentral.
UACGUAGGGCGCAAGCGUUGUCCGGAAUUAUUGGGCGUAAAGAGCUCGUAGGUGGUUUGUCGCGUCUGUCGUGAAAGCCCGGGGCUUAACUCCGGGUCUGCGGUGGAUACGGGCAGACUAGAGGCAGGUAGGGGAGAACGGAAUUCCCGGUGUAGCGGUGAAAUGCGCAGAUAUCGGGAGGAACACCGACGGCGCAGGCAGCGUCCUGGCCGCUUGCUGACACUGAGGCACGAAAGCUGGGGGAGCAAACAGG